RNAcentral lists this ribosomal RNA (986 nucleotides) under uncultured Enterobacter sp. RNAcentral describes it as "bacterial SSU rRNA". It matches the Rfam family "Bacterial small subunit ribosomal RNA", at positions 208 to 1175 of the family's 1533-position model. Lineage: Bacteria; Pseudomonadati; Pseudomonadota; Gammaproteobacteria; Enterobacterales; Enterobacteriaceae. The record is from RNAcentral.
GACCUUUCGGGCCUCUUGCCAUCAGAUGUGCCCAGAUGGGAUUAGCUAGUAGGUGGGGUAACGGCUCACCUAGGCGACGAUCCCUAGCUGGUCUGAGAGGAUGACCAGCCACACUGGAACUGAGACACGGUCCAGACUCCUACGGGAGGCAGCAGUGGGGAAUAUUGCACAAUGGGCGCAAGCCUGAUGCAGCCAUGCCGCGUGUAUGAAGAAGGCCUUCGGGUUGUAAAGUACUUUCAGCGGGGAGGAAGGCGUUGAGGUUAAUAACCUCAGCGAUUGACGUUACCCGCAGAAGAAGCACCGGCUAACUCCGUGCCAGCAGCCGCGGUAAUACGGAGGGUGCAAGCGUUAAUCGGAAUUACUGGGCGUAAAGCGCACGCAGGCGGUCUGUCAAGUCGGAUGUGAAAUCCCCGGGCUCAACCUGGGAACUGCAUUCGAAACUGGCAGGCUAGAGUCUUGUAGAGGGGGGUAGAAUUCCAGGUGUAGCGGUGAAAUGCGUAGAGAUCUGGNAGGAAUACCGGUGGCGAAGGCGGCCCCCUGGACAAAGACUGACGCUCAGGUGCGAAAGCGUGGGGAGCAAACAGGAUUAGAUACCCUGGUAGUCCACGCCGUAAACGAUGUCGACUUGGAGGUUGUGCCCUUGAGGCGUGGCUUCCGGAGCUAACGCGUUAAGUCGACCGCCUGGGGANGNUACNGGCCGCAAGGUUAAAACUCACAUGAAUUGACGGGGGCCCGCACAAGCGGUGGAGCAUGUGGUUUAAUUCGAUGCAACGCGAAGAACCUCACCUACUCUUGACAUCCAGAGAACUUUCCAGAGAUGGAUUGGUGCCUUCGGGAACUCUAAGACAGGUGCUGCAUGGCUGUCGUCAGCUCGUGUUGUGAAAUGUUGGGUUAAGUCCCGCAACGAGCGCAACCCUUAUCCUUUGUUGCCAGCGGUUAGGCCGGGAACUCAAAGGAGACUGCCAGUGAUAAACUGGAGGAAGGUG